UUAUAUAGCAGAGAAAAUUUAUAUUGCCACAAUUGCAUGAUAUAAUCAGUAAUAAAUUAAUCAUAUCUCUUUUCUUAAGAAAAAAUUCAGGACGAGCAAUUCUAUUUGUCAGCGAUAUAACCGGUGCAUUCUAUACUUUUUCUUAUAUAACGCUAGUUCUUUAAGCUAUGUUUUAUACCAUUUAACUAAGAAAAAUAUUAUCUGUACAUCGAAAAAAAAAGAGUAGAGGAGCCGGCAAU
RNAcentral lists this long non-coding RNA (239 nucleotides) under Ananas comosus (pineapple). RNAcentral's name for it is "long non-coding RNA (ACOM_LNC034162)". The record is from RNAcentral. Lineage: Eukaryota; Viridiplantae; Streptophyta; Magnoliopsida; Poales; Bromeliaceae.